RNAcentral lists this ribosomal RNA (466 nucleotides) under uncultured bacterium. RNAcentral's name for it is "partial 16S ribosomal RNA". It matches the Rfam family "Bacterial small subunit ribosomal RNA", at positions 28 to 505 of the family's 1533-position model. The record is from RNAcentral.
GACGAACGCUGGCGGCGUGCUUAACACAUGCAAGUCGAACGGAAAGGCCCUGCUUUUGUGGGGUGCUCGAGUGGCGAACGGGUGAGUAACACGUGAGUAACCUGCCCUUGACUUUGGGAUAACUUCAGGAAACUGGGGCUAAUACCGGAUAGGAGCUCCUGCUGCAUGGUGGGGGUUGGAAAGUUUCGGCGGUUGGGGAUGGACUCGCGGCUUAUCAGCUUGUUGGUGGGGUAGUGGCUUACCAAGGCUUUGACGGGUAGCCGGCCUGAGAGGGUGACCGGCCACAUGGGGACUGAGAUACGGCCCAGACUCCUACGGGAGGCAGCAGUGGGGAAUAGUGCACAAUGGGCGGAAGCCUGAUGCAGCAACGCCGCGUGCGGGAUGACGGCCUUCGGGUUGUAAACCGCUUUCGCCUGUGACGAAGCGUGAGUGACGGUAAUGGGUAAAGAAGCACCGGCUAACUACG